RNAcentral lists this transfer RNA (74 nucleotides) under Phycisphaeraceae bacterium. Its description in RNAcentral is "tRNA-Arg". It matches the Rfam family "tRNA". Rfam says of the family: Transfer RNA (tRNA) molecules are approximately 80 nucleotides in length. Their secondary structure includes four short double-helical elements and three loops (D, anti-codon, and T loops). The record is from RNAcentral. RNAcentral also lists the same sequence under 1 other name. Lineage: Bacteria; Pseudomonadati; Planctomycetota; Phycisphaerae; Phycisphaerales; Phycisphaeraceae.
GCCCCUGUAGCUCAGUUGGAUAGAGCAGCGGACUUCUAAUCCGCAGGUCGCUGGUUCGAAUCCAGCCGGGGGUG